Molecule: RNA transcript, 8471 nt
Organism: Hypanus sabinus (Atlantic stingray)
Lineage: Eukaryota; Metazoa; Chordata; Chondrichthyes; Myliobatiformes; Dasyatidae
Gene name: zinc finger protein 850-like
Exons: 2
Source: RefSeq, a predicted model, not a curated record
CAUCAAUCGAUUCUCCUUUGUCUGUCCUGCUUGUUAUUUCUUAAAAUAAUUUCUACAGGUUGGUCAGGCAAGGUUUUCCCUUCAGGAAACCAUGCUGACUGUGGUCUAUUUUAUCUUGUGACACGGUACUCUCAGAGCUCAUCAUUAAUAAUCGACUCCAACAUCUUCCCAAUCACUGCGGACAGACUAACUGGCCUAUAGUUUCCUUUCUUCUGCCUCUCUCCCUUCUUGAAAAGUGGUGUGACAUUGGCAAUAUUACAUUCUUGAGGAACCAUUCCGGAACAUUGUGAUUCCUGAAUGUUCAUUACUAAUGGGGCCACAAUCUUUUUAGCCACCUCUUUCAGAAAGCCGGGGUGUACACCAUCUGGGUCACGUGACUUAUCUAACUUGGCCUUCCAGUUCCUCAAGAACCUUCACUCUGGUUCUGGUAACUUUGUACACUUCUGACUCCUGACACCCGGAAGUCCCACCAUUAUGCUGGUGUCUUCCUCUGUGAAGACAGACACAACAUACUUAUUCAGUCUGUCUACCAUUUCUUUGUCUCCUGUCACUGCCUCUGCAGCAUCGUUGUCCAGCCACCCUAGACUUUUUAUUCGAUAAAAAGUGGGGUGCAAGUGCUUUAAUUGGGCAAGAAUGUUGCACCAACACACCAGACAAAACUGAAAAUGUAACUCACCUGAUGGAUUAUAUUUGAGAGGCAGCAGAUAGAAUGAGAGAAGUGGGAGAGCAGUUCCACAAUGAUAACCCCUCAGUAAGUCAGUGGCCAUGUGGGACUCUGGGACGAUGGUGGGAUACUGGUUUACAUUGUACAUUUCCGCAAUGAUAACCCCUCAGGAAGCCGUUGGCCAUUUGGGACUCUGGGACGAUGGUGGGAUACUGGUUUACAUUGUACAGUUCCACAAUGAUAACCCGUCAGGAAGCCGGUGGCCAUUUGGGACUCUGGGAGGAUGGAGGGAUACUGGUUUACAUUGUAGAGUUUAUCAAUCAUAACCCCUUAGGAAGCUGGUGGCCAUUUGGGAUUCUGGGAGGAUGGAGGGAUACUGGUUUGCAUGAUGGAAUAACCAUUGGAGCAAUAAUAAUACAAACAAUCUGAUUAUGAUUCUCGUGCUCAGUCGGGAGUCUGAAAAGGAGGAGAUAUCAGGGUUCUGGCUCCUCAUGGGGAAUGGACGGGGAAAAGAAAGCCCUGAGAUCUGAAGUAUUUUCACUUUAAAGACAUCAUUCACUUCGUAAGUUCUGAUGAUAUUGGAUGUCUGUUGUCAUGGGACAACAAAGAGGAGGGAAUGGGGAAAUAUGUACUGAACUUUAGAUUUUAUUGUAAGUAUCUGAUGAGACAAAAUGGAGCUGUACAAACCCCGGAGUGCUGAGCUAGUAUAUGCGAUAUAUGUAGGUGGGAACAGUAACCUCGUCUCGUUCUUAUGUACGGAAGGAAUAUUUUGUAAACGCUGUGUUUGAGGUCCCCUCCCAUCCCUGGUGAGAAUGGAGGUGAACUUACCCCCUGCAGGUAAUAAAGAAUAAAGCUGCUUGAUGAAGAAACACUCAGUGUUGGGAUUGUGUUCUGUGAGUCUCAGCAGAGAGAUACUUGACAGGGGGUUAAGGGUGAAAGGUGGGGAGUUUAUGGGGCACAUGAGGGGAUACCUCUUCACUCAGAGGGUCACACACCCACAAAACGUCUCCCCCCGAAUGAGGCGGAGCCCAAAUGUCGGGUCCCUCAAAUGAGCUGCUGCCAACCGGAGACCGGGGUCUUCGGGCUGGUUUGUUGCCGCCAGAGAACAUGAUGUGUGCCCCUGGUGAUGGACACACUGACGGUAGGUGUCGGCGAUUGAAAGCCCGUGUUUCCCUGCACCCCACCCCCCCCCCCCCGGAUCCAGCCAGUCUCGUUCCCCCGGGAGAUGAAAGAGAAAGUAAAUUCAUCCGCUUACAACUGGACAAUGAUGUGUGUUAAUUAUUUGGACAAUGCAGUUCAAACAAUUAGUGAGGUUGUGGAUGUCACCAAAACCGGUGUGUGGAGAAAGUGAGGGUUGUCUAAGGUUCCAGUGGGAUCGAGACCAGUUGGGAAAGUGGGCCGAGGAAUUGCAGGUGGAUCUUAGCUGUCACUCAGAAACAGUUCUUCAGGGGGUCAUAGACGACUGAGACACGAAAGAGAGCUUUUCUUGGGCUCUGGAUUCAAACGGACAAGACUCAUCUCGUUUGAAGGUACCACGGCAGAAUAAAAGUUGUUGCUCCGCCACCCUGAGGGUGCAGUCAUCAAUUAGGAGCAACUUCGCACCAUCCUCCACAAGUCUGACUUACCAGUCAGCACGCAUUUUAAUUCUUCAUUCCCAGUCCUGUUCCGCCGUGUCGAUCCAUGGACUCCUCUUGUGCCAAGAUGAGCUCCCAUCCCCCCACCCCAGGGUGGUGGAGCAACACAUUAUAUUCCGUCUGGGUACCCUCCAACCUGACGGCAUGAACAUCGAUUUCCCCUCCUGUGAAUAAAUUACCGUCACCCUCCUCUAUGCCCCACUCUGACCUUGUACUUCUCACCUUCCUACAUUCCUCCCGGGACCCUCCUCCUGCCCUCUCUCUGGUCCACUCUCCCCUCCUAUCAGAUUCUUUAUUCUCCAGCCCACCCUUUCUUGACCUUCCCCACCCACCCGGCAUCAAAUUCCAGCUCGCCUCUUCCCCUCCCCCACCAUAUUUCUAUUCUGGCACCUUCCCCUGUGCUUCUCUGCCCUGCAGAAGGCUUUCUGCCAAAAAACGCCGUCUGUUCAUAAUUUUCUAUAGAUGCUGCCUGAGGUGCUGAGUUCCUGCAGCGUUUUGUGUGAGUCGCCUUGAAUUUCCAGCACUUGCAGACUUUCUCCUGUUAGUUCCAGAAAUCGCCGUCCGUGACCAGACGAUCACAUGCGCAUGCGUAAGGUCGCGGUGAGUUUCGCGCGUGCGCACGGUGGACAAAAAGCUCGGAGACUCGCUGCAGGUAGGAGCGGGGAUCCGGGCGGAUUAUCAUCGGUACCGGCGUCCGAACCGCGACCGGCCACACCUUUCUUCCCCACCCCGGGUUAGUCCAAGUCCUUACCCCUCUCUCUACGGGGGCUCCGGGGAAUUUGCUGCUGAGGAGCGGAGACGCUGGAGCCGUGGCGGAUAGAUGGGUCUCUUCUUCGUGUAGGUUUCUGGGUAAUGAGGCAGCCAUUGAUGACAGGGCCAGCGUUUUCCCCGUUAGUCCGUAGGCCGUAUUUGGAAUCGCAGGGGGAGGGAAGGGGAGUAGAUGGAUCACUCGGGCACCACCGAGCACUGAGGAGCUGACCUUCCAGUCAAUGAAAAUGUCAAUUUUUACUGUAUGAAAAGAAGGAAACAAAAUCCUUACAUCAGCUUUAGUCCUUGUGGAAAUCACCUUUGUUCCAUCUUGAUCUGGACCUUUCUACCUGUGAGAACUUGUUUAGUACCAUUCGCUUUGGGUACAUAAUAAUACCAAUUACCUUUGGCCUGGUUAACAAGUGACCUGUAGCGUUCUCAUCACAAAUAUGCCACUCUCCAAUGAGAACAAGGACUGCCCUCCCCAUCAUGUUCAUUGGCAUUGCCGCUGACGGGCUCUCCACCGUCAAUCACCUGUGCGGAGGGGCAGAGUAAUUUGAAACUCUCCAGGGUUUGCUAUGUAACAUCACAUGCUCUUUGUAGUGCUGCCGUACACGAUCAGAACUUGAAAUAAUACCUAUGUUUUCUCUAAUUUAUUUUUCUCAGAACGUAUGGACCGACCAUUUGUCUGAAAGUUAAAUGUUUAAACAGCCUGAAAACAGCACGGCAUCAACAAAACACCAGCUGUGCAGCAGCAAAGGCUGUCUGUGUGGGAACAUUUCAGUUACUGCGCAGCUCGGAAUAAUAUGGGACAGAGAAUAAUACUAAUGGAAGGAAUCAGACUGAGCUAAGUCACAGAUUGAAAUUCCCAUUCUCACACAGACAGGAAAUCUGUUGGGGAAUUAGAUGGACAGACCAGUUGCCGGCGUCAUGAGCAGUUAGAAGAACAGAAAAGAUUUUCAAGACUUUUGACAACUUGGUUAGAGUCCCCCAAACACAAACUAAUCCAAGAGUUCAUACUCUCGAGGAGAAUGAUAACAGUAGGUGAUGCAAUACAAUUUUACAGGCUACAAUGACAUAAUUUACUUCAGUAUUAUGUUUCUCAAAUGGCUCCAUUGAAGUACAUACUUAGAGUGGGAGAAUAUUGAAUUGAUAAGAAACCACUGAAGGUUCAGUCACCUUUGUUGGGACAAACUAAUUCACAUAAACAGUCCACACAUUGCACUCGUUCAUUAUUUAAUCGCAAUCUGUCACCACGGGGAUUGCAUCUGCCUGACGUAAUUGGUUUGUAAAUAAUUUUAAAACAGCUAUUUUUAAAUCUGUUAAAAUGUGUCCCUCUGGAGUCGCUAAAUGGUAUUAAAAACCGUAGGCUUGGGCUGCCUUUACAUUUCAUUCCAAGAGAUCGCCUGUAGCACAGUGGGGACAGAUCACUGGACAGAGAAAAUGCCUGCAUUGUUCAAUAGGUACAGAAGUGUGGAGAAAAUACUGUACGUGUUCAUCGCCGUCAUUGGAGUUCCUGGUAAGUGAGCAGAGCAAUUCUUGUUUGGUAUUUCUGUGUGUUAACCAUGUGAAUCUGUUUAUGAUCAUUUGACGAGCUUCUAACUUGAUGAUCAUUGUAGAAAUAUCCGUCAGAGAUAUUGAUCCUGUCAGUUCAACACUCUGAAUUUUCAUAUUUAAUGACAAGCGGAGCUAAACUCCUGUCUCUCAUCAAACUCACGUGAUCGACUCGAACGUUGUUCUUGCCUUCAAUGACACCUUGUCCGGAGUUGUCCCAGUGUGGGGACAGGCAGCUCUCCCGCAAGGUGUGACUGGAAUGGGUUUACAUUGUAAAGUUCACUGUUUCUGAGUUAUCGAUCAGAGAGAACCCCUGGUCCUGUGUUUCAUGUCUCCCUGUGGAGUCUGUCACAGUCGGAUCCCACUGCCUGUCGGUCAAUAAUUGGGUCUGAUCAUCUGAACCAGUGUCAACGGAUCUGCUGACGAGAGUUAUCGAAUUGAACUGCGCUGUGGAAUUAAUCCAUUAACGGAGCCGCUCAGCCUCAGGUUGCUCAGUUGUUCCUGCUUUCCCUCUGAGACGCGUCGUAAAUUUUCUCCAGGACAACUCUUCGUCCUGGAGAAAAGUCUCGGCCCAAUACCAAAGUUUGUUCAAUUCCAUGUACAGAAUGUUGCCUGACCUGCUGAGUCCCUCCAGUGUUUUGUGUGUGUUCCUCUCCUCUGCAUGCCUUAUCGGCCCCAUCAUUUACGAGUUUCCAGGGGCCAGGUCAGUCACGAUUAAAUCAGUGAAACCGGCCAGGUCAGGGACAGGAAUCGUGAUCAGCACCGACCUAUGUUGUUCAUGCAGAUCGCUUUUAUCGCCGACGAUUGUCCACAAUUGUCUUAUCUCCACACUGAAGAAGGCAGGUCAGAGACAGUGUGACCAGUGUCCCAUGUUAGGUUAGCAGCCGUGCACUGACUCCACAACUCCUGGUCUUCAGCUGAAACCCGAUCCCUUGAGGAAUGCGUUCAGUAAUGGCCUCUGUCUGUUAUCUCUCUCUCCCUCACUCUCUCUGCUCCCUCGCCCUCCCACCUCCCCUCUCCCUGUCUCCCUCCCCCUCUCCCUCCUCUUCUCCCCCUUUCCCACACGCAGUGAAUGUAGUGGCGAUUGUGAUCCUGUCUCGGGAAAGUGCGGCCUCUCUACCUGCACCACUCGCUACCUGGUUGCCAUGGCAGCGGCUGAUCUACUGACCAUUGUCACCGCGGUCAUUUUGUGGCGAAUCAAAUCCUAUUACUUCCCGUGGAGUUUUCUGGACAUCACCCCUGUGUGCAGUGUUAUCGAUGUACUGAGAUGCACAGCCACAAACUGUUCUGUCUGGUUCACCGUCGCUUUCACCUUUGACCGGUUUGUCGCCAUUUGCUGCCAGAAGCUGAAAACAAAAUAUUGCACCGGGAAAACUGCAACUGUGGUUCUAACAACAAUCGGCGCACUAUUCUGUCUGAAAAAUGUUCCCCGAUACACACGGCAACCCAGGGUGAUCAUCGACAAUGUACCGUGGUUCUGUAAAGUGAUGGACAGUUAUUUCACUGACCCCGGGUGGGGAGGGUAUGACUGGUUCGAUACGGUUUUAACUCCGUUCCUCCCUUUCGCUGGGAUCCUGCUGCUCAACGCUCUGACAGACACAUUUUAGUGGCCAGUCGGGUCCGAAAGGGGCUGAAGGGACAGGGCAAGGGGGAGAACCGCAGUGACCCGGAGAUGGAGAGCAGGAGGAGGUCUGUGAUUUUACUUUUCACCCCCUCCGGCAGCUUCAUCCUCCUGUGGAUGACACUGGUUGUAAAUUUCAUAUAUUAUCAGGUCUCAGGGAAAGGAUUCAGUUUCAAUGAUUCUGAAUGGAUCUUUAUGUACGUCGGGGUUUUGCUGAGUGAUUUCAGCUGCUGCACCAACACGUUUAUUUACGCGGUGACUCAGUCAAAAUUCAGGGAACAGAUAAUUAGGUCGGUGAAAUAUUCUGUCACCUCGGUGGUUCAUUACAUUAAUAAAGCUGCGUCCUGAGCACAAGCCGGACGCAGCCACAAUUUCUCCAGUCCGGAGGCCAACUCCUCACAUUCACCGCCUGAUCUCGCAGUUGUUAUUCCGGGGCCGACUGUCCCAUUGACCAGUAGGUCUGGGACAUUAGGAUAGUGUGUUUCUGGGGAGGGGCAAAGCACUGUCCUGGACUCGCCAGAUGUCAGUCAACGAACUACUCUGAAAUGCCAGCCAUCCAUUGGUCUGGGAAUAUGUCCAUCUACUCCUAUUCCCACCCACCAACCUCACAGACCGACUUUCCCACAAGACAGCUGGUGUUCUAGUCUGAUGCUGGUAGGAUAAUCAAAUGUCAAGCACACCAGUUUCCGCCUUCCGCUUGAAUGAUUGGCUAACGUGCAUAUAAAUAGGGCGGGUUUUGGAUACAUGGUGGUUGGUACUCCAAAUUAAUGCACGUUCCCGCCACUAACUGGACUGGAAUAUGGUGUAGAGGAUUGGGAAAUAAAACCCUUGCUGCUUCUUUGUUCUAAUGAAAACUGAAUUACACUCCAAAAAUCCUACAGAUUGUACCCACGUGAAGCCCAAUAGAGAGAAUCAAAUUAAACUCAUUCCCACGACUGAAAUGAAAGAUAUCCGCCCCCAACGAUUGUAAUGAAAUCUGUAUUUCAUUUCUGUCUACCUGAUCACCUUCACCCUGAAAUAGUGUGUGUUCAAGUGCUUCAUAAUGACAAGAACUACAUGACCCAGUAUGGAGUUUUCCAACACGACAUAAGGAAUAAUUCGUUAUAGUCGGGCUAAUUCAGGUCGUAUCAAUAUAAUUCCUUCCCUUCUUGUUUUUACCCGGUUCUCCCAUGAACCGAACACAGGUGUUCUCUAAAGGUGCUCCCCUUGUGCCCAGUAUCCCACUAGAUUUACCAUAAGCCCCUAAUUCUUAACCCUGCAAACUCUGAACCAGCUUCUGAUUUGCAAAGUGGAAGGUUUGAAUCUACAGUUGAAUCUUCAACAGCUUUUGCAGCGAAAUAGUCAACCCGUUCAUUCACACCCAAUUCUGAAUGGACGCCCAUUCCAAGUGAACCACAAUAUUCGACAAAUGAACCACAAUUGCUCACAUCCGCAAACCGGUGUGUACCCCGUAUAUGGCAAAUUACAUCAGCAAAUUACUGUGCAUCCCAUAUUGGCCGACGCAUUCCGUAAUCUGUGUACACCCCAAAUCCAUGUUCAACCCCAAAUCGGGGCGCCCCUCCAAAUCCGCAAGCAACCCGCAAAUCAGUGUGUACACCCAAAUCCGUGUGCACCCACAAAUCUGCGCACAUUCUGAAACAGGAGCGCACUCCAUAAUCAUUUUGCACACCAACCAGGUGAAAGCUCCACAUGCAGUUCAUCUAAUCCCAAAGCAUAAUUUUCAAACAGUACACAAAACGGCUGACUCGAUAUUAAGCACUCGCACGCAACCCACAAUUCUUGUGUAAAUCCAAAUCCGCUGGCGUUCGCUGAUCCCAUAUUCGACAACACAGAAAUAAGAGAGCACCACAAAAUCUAUGUGCACCCGUUGAAAGGACAAAGCACAGGGGUUAUAAAAGUAUCGGAAAUUAAAACCCGUCACAACUCCAAAUCCGCAGUCUCCAAAAAAUCUGUGAGAACACCGAACUCAGUAAACAUCGCCAGAAAGCCCGAAAGCAAUGAAAAUCUGUGCCAGCCCCAAAUCAGUGCGCACCCCAAACACCUCACAUGCAUAAUAGCUUGUCUCAGAGCAAGAAUCAUUUCAAACAGUUUAGAAAAUGGCUGUAUCAACAUUAAAAAAGUCCCCAGCCAACCAGUUGUUUGUUUGCACCUUCCGAUCGGCCGAAACCCCAAAUCUGGAUGCAACCUUAAAUCUGUGUGCAGUCCUACCUCCGACAGCACAAUCCUAAAUCUGCGUGCACCCCCAAAUCCA